Molecule: ribosomal RNA, 396 nt
Filed under: uncultured bacterium
Lineage: Bacteria
Description: partial 16S ribosomal RNA
Rfam family: Bacterial small subunit ribosomal RNA
Source: RNAcentral
AUACGUAGGGAGCGAGCGUUGUCCGGAAUUACUGGGUGUAAAGGGUGCGUAGGCGGGUAGACAAGUCAGGUGUGAAAACCAUCGGCUCAACCGGGGAACUGCACUUGAAACUGUAAAUCUUGAGUGAAGUAGAGGCAAGCGGAAUUCCGAGUGUAGAGGUGAAAUGCGUAGAUAUUCGGAGGAACACCAGUGGCGAAGGCGGCUUGCUGGGCUUUAACUGACGCUGAGGCACGAAAGCGUGGGGAGCAAACAGGAUUAGAUACCCUGGUAGUCCACGCUGUAAACGAUGAAUGCUAGGUGUGGGGGGACUGACCCCUUCCGUGCCGGAGUAAACACAAUAAGCAUUCCACCUGGGGAGUACGACCGCAAGGUUGAAACUCAAAUGAAUUGACGGGG